This 25-nucleotide non-coding RNA is filed under the name Rattus norvegicus (Norway rat). The record is from RNAcentral. Lineage: Eukaryota; Metazoa; Chordata; Mammalia; Rodentia; Muridae.
AAUACGUGCAGAGGAAAUUGGUUUU